CAGUUCUCUGAACUACUCAAAAUUUCCACUACCGGUUCUCCAGAACUGGUCAGAACCUGCUGAACACCAUCUCUGGAUCACAGACAACAGUGGGAGAAGUAAUCGUCAUGUUUCUCAUGCAUAUGUACAUCAGCCUUCCACAAAUAGUCUGAGGGGUUAAGCUGUAACUCCUAAAUUCCCAGGAUGGUGGGCACAUUGGAAGACCCCAGGCUGAGAAAGGCCGGCAUUUACCACAGAUAUCACCACCUUUGGAUUUCCAUUUUAAUCUUUCCUUAGAAAUUGUGUCUACCAACUGCUUCAAUUUACAGGUCUGUGUAAGGAAAUGUCAUUUAGACUCUUUCUUUAUCUCAUUUUUAUUCCACAAUAGGACACAAUUUCUUGAUUUCUAUGAUUUUACAGUCUGGCAGUAAAUGUGAUCUUUCCCCAUCUAUAAGGACAUCGCUGGAUCUAUUCUAGAAGGGGCACGAUGCUUAAGACGUUGGGCUGUCGAUCAAAAUGUUGUCAGUUUGAGAUUCAAGUACCACAUGAUAGGGUAAGCUCCAGUUACUUGCACCAGCUUCUGCAAACCUAGCAGUUCGAAAACAUGCAAAUGUGAGGAGAUAAAUAGGUACCACUUCAAUGGGAAAAUAGCAGUGUUCUUUGUGCCUCGGUGGAUAGUCAACCACACAUGACCACAGAACUGUCAUCAGACAAUGCUUGCUAAGAAACAGAGAUGAGCUCUGUCCCCUAGAUUUGGAAAUGCUGGACAGGGGAAACCUUUACCUUUAGAUCUAAUCUGAGUCAAUUGCAACAUUUAUUAAAAACUCAGUAGAACUAUCCGUGGUAUCUUCCUGGCUAUUGGUAGAAGCUUGUUGAUGUUCUUUAUCUAUUGGUAGUCUCAUAGACUUCAUCUCAAAGCAAGGCUGGGCAACCUUUUCAGAGCAGGGGGCUUUGUGAAAACAAAGAUUGGGCCCUCUCGUAAACUUACUUCUAUCCCCUCCCAGCAUCUUCCCUAGAUCAUAUAUCCUCAAAAUGGCAUGUGUCCAUAAGUCUGGCUAUUAAUGAUGAGAAUCUGUAGCCUUUAAUAUCUCCAUGGAUUUUAAAUGGCAACUCAUUCAUAGUAUAUACCCACACUAAUCAUGUGCCGGUUAGUUGCAGAGGUACGUAUAUGAAUAUGUGGCUCCUAAUCUUACAGCACUAUUACAUCUUGAAUUACUUGGUCACUUGGUAGAAGAUCUAACUGGAUCUUGUGACUGUAAUAGAGAUUUGAUGUCCAGCAUUUAGUGCAGGCGGUCUUGUCACUAUCAAUUUAUUGGGAAAGGACAGCUACAGGAAAUGGCUUCAAAGCUGGCAACGCUAUAUUGAGUUGACCUAGUUCUGCCCCUGAAUGACUAGGGAGGAAAAAAAGGUGGAAGAAUUCUUUGGUUCAGAAAAACUCUGGAGGUUUAUUCGGAGUGUUUAUUCAGCUCCCUAAAGCAAUUCCUUCUUGGAAUGUGGGAUUCUGCAUUUACUGUGUUCUCCUCCUCCCCCCUUCUCUCUCAAUUUUCCUGCAGUUGUGUAGCAGAUGGUGAUUAUUCCCAUUGUGAGAUGGGGAUGCAUUUGAGGCCACUUUACCUGGGCCAUUCCUAUACUAUAGGAACUCCCUCUUGCCUUUUGUGAAGAUAAUGCUUAGCAUUAUUAUCUUCUAUUUAGGGAAGUAGAGAUCCUACUAGGAUGAUCUUUCUUAUAAAAGGAAUGUAACCUUUCACUUGCAUUUGUUCAUUGAUGUUCUUUUAUAGUAUUUUUUCCACUGCAGGCUACUUAGGACAGUUUUUUUAUACAUGCCUUCCACUAUUCAAUUUAUAUUUGAUUUUUAAAAAUGGCAAUAUGGCAGUCAAAAUAAUUUAAAAAUAUUUUUAUUCUGAAAUUGGAAUGAAAGUACUUUCAUUUCUGUCUUUGGCUUUUGAUAUUGUAGUUCAUUCUGUAGGGUCACCUUUUAUCCUGUGCGAUAUAUCUUAAACUAUGUUUACCUGGAGGUAGGUCCCUCAAUUAUUGUAUUAGUCCUUACUUUUCAGUACAUGUGAUUUAGCACUAAAUAUUACCUGCAGAAGAGAAGCACCUUUGCAACUUGAUUGCCAAGCUUUUAUUAGGAUUUGUUUUAAUGCUUGGUUGCCAUAAUUGAAUCUUGGGUUGAUCCAUUUACAAAGUUGUGGUAGUGUGUGGUACGUUUAAAAUAGGUGAGUAUAACUCCUAAAUUGGGACACUGUCAUCUUUUCAUGGUUCCUUACCCUUCUCCCUUUAAUCUCAGAGUCAUAAAAUAUAUAUUAAGCUUUACUGGGAAUAAAGACAAAACAUUAGGGUUAUACAAGCAGUUUUUGCCUGUCAAAAAUAAAAUGGCAAAUGUGGAAAAACAUGGAUUUCAUAAUUUUAGUACAAAACAUUUUUUUUCUAUGCCCAGUAAAUAGAUUUUGAUGGGAUUAAUUCAGAUAAAGGAUUUAUCUGGCCCACAUGAUAGAACUGCCUAAAGAAUUUAGUCUUGAUCUGGUAAGAACCAUCCUGAUUUGAAAAGAAAUUUUUGCUGGAUUUUGUACUUUGUGGUAAAAUCAGAAGAGGGAUUGGUAAAUAUGUUGUCAUUUGUUUCUGGAUAAAGGAUAUAAAUCUAACUAAUAUGGCCAACCAUUUAAAUUAUUGCAAUGCAUACACUUAAUGAAUAUGCAUCUUUCUAAAAAAAUGGCUAGAUUUAAAUAUCCAAAUAAAUUAUUUGUAUUUAUUUCAUCUGCAGAAAGUUGCCCUGCAGUCUUCUUUGGGUGACAGAGAUCCUUCUUGGGUAAGGAGGAUUCUGAGAAAUGCUUAUAAAGGCAUGCAAAGAAAUUUGUGCAGCCUCAAUUGCUUACAUUCAUUCUCAGUUGAUUGUUGGCCUCGCAGAAUUUGAUUUAAUU
Non-coding RNA from Notechis scutatus (mainland tiger snake), 2897 nucleotides. Lineage: Eukaryota; Metazoa; Chordata; Lepidosauria; Squamata; Elapidae. The record is from RefSeq and is a predicted model, not a curated record.